This 430-nucleotide long non-coding RNA is filed under the name Homo sapiens (human). Its description in RNAcentral is "HSALNT0244680". Lineage: Eukaryota; Metazoa; Chordata; Mammalia; Primates; Hominidae. The record is from RNAcentral.
CAAAGCUUUCAGUGCAUGCCGACCAAGCUAUGAUUUCAGAUGGAAACCAUGUAAUGUGUGGUCAUUUGUACCCCCAAACCAUGUAAAGCCUGGCAACCUGGUUGAUGUUUUGCUUUCCGUUGGAUUUGGAGAGGUUCAUAGAGAAUGAACUGCAAGUGCGGUGGUGAUGGGGAACCUCAGAUUUCACAUGCAUAUCAAAUUCACUGUUGGAGAAAAAUUGUAAGUACUACUUCUUAAAUGAUUCUGUGGGAGAGUGAGCCAUUAUUGUAUUGGUAUUUCUAUACCCUAAGUAUAUUCUAUAACUAUUAUUUGAUAUCUCAUCUGCCUAAUAUUUAAUACAAAACAUUAAAAAAUCAAGAUAACAAUAUCAAUGGAAGGCAUGAAUUAAACUGUCCAGUGAGGUGUCAUAGAGUUGCACAUCCUGUUGCUG